RNAcentral lists this unclassified non-coding RNA (315 nucleotides) under Hevea brasiliensis (rubber tree). The record is from RNAcentral. Lineage: Eukaryota; Viridiplantae; Streptophyta; Magnoliopsida; Malpighiales; Euphorbiaceae.
CCUAGCCCCUAGCCUAAACACCUAUCAUACCCUUUUGAGGAAGCAAUAUGCAUAAGAAAAAUGAAGAGAGGAUGUAGAACUCAAGAAAGAGUGCAAGUGUGCAAUUGAAAUCAAAGAAAAAUUUGCCUUUCCAACCCAGCAAAAGCAAUGAGUUUGGGGGAGAGGACAAAAGGGACAUAAAAAGAAAGAAAAAAAAAGAGAAAAGAAAAGAAGUCCCAAGAUAAGUAUCAUGGAAGCAUGCUUGGCACUAUAAAAAAACUAAAAGCCCUUCCUCUCCAUACAAAAUUAAUAGAAUAAACUUAGUAUACUUGGUAU